UACGUAGGGGGCAAGCGUUGUCCGGAUUUAUUGGGCGUAAAGAGCGUGUAGGCGGUUUGGUAGGUCCGCUGUGAAAACUCGAGCUCAACCUCGAGACGCCGGUGGAAACCAUCAGACUAGAGUCCGGAAGAGGAGAGUGGAAUUCCUGGUGUAGCGGUGAAAUGCGCAGAUAUCGGGAGGAACACCAAUGGCGAAGGCAGCUCGCUGGGACGUGACUGACGCUGAGACGGCGAAAAGCGUGGGGGAGCAAACAGG
Molecule: ribosomal RNA, 255 nt
Filed under: uncultured bacterium
Lineage: Bacteria
Description: partial 16S ribosomal RNA
Rfam family: Bacterial small subunit ribosomal RNA
Source: RNAcentral